GGUUAGUUUUAGUGAUCAGUUGGAAGUCAGAUGUGUAUUUAUCAAACUUGUGAAUAAUUAUACACCUGAUUUCCAAUUGAUCACUAAAGACC
Non-coding RNA from Marchantia polymorpha subsp. ruderalis, 92 nucleotides. The record is from the annotation of a GenBank genome assembly. NCBI's taxonomy places the organism in Eukaryota, Viridiplantae, Streptophyta, Marchantiopsida, Marchantiales, Marchantiaceae.